AUGGGCGCGAUGCCGAUGCCGCCACCGCCGGCCGACCACGCGGCAACGAAGGCGGCGGCGCCGCACAAGAUGAUGGGGAUGAUGCACAUGACCUUCUUCUGGGGCGACCGCGCGGUGGUCCUCUUCCCGGGCUGGCCGGGGGAGCGCGGCGCCGGGAUGUACCUCCUCUGCCUCCUCUUCGUGCUCGCCCUCGCCGCGCUCACCGAGGCCCUCGCCCUGCUCUCGCGCCGCCUCGCCCGCCGCGGCGAGGACGGCGGCCCGGCCACGGCGGCAUCUGCGGCGCUGCUGACGGCGGUGCACGCCGCCAGGAUGGGGAUGGCCUACCUGGUGAUGCUGGCCGUCAUGUCGUUCAACGUCGGCGUCCUCCUCGCGGCAGUCGCCGGCCACGCCGUGGGGUUCCUCUUCGCGCGGAGCAGAGUGCGCACCGGCGCGGCGCGCGGGAAUGUCACAUCCCCUGAGCUCUGUGGCGUCCCGCCGUCGCACGCGUCCAAGCCUUAG
Molecule: ribosomal RNA, 498 nt
Filed under: Triticum aestivum (bread wheat)
Lineage: Eukaryota; Viridiplantae; Streptophyta; Magnoliopsida; Poales; Poaceae
Description: partial small subunit ribosomal RNA
Source: RNAcentral